RNAcentral lists this ribosomal RNA (497 nucleotides) under uncultured bacterium. RNAcentral describes it as "partial 16S ribosomal RNA". It matches the Rfam family "Bacterial small subunit ribosomal RNA", at positions 28 to 507 of the family's 1533-position model. The record is from RNAcentral.
GAUGAACGCUGGCGGCGUGCCUAAUACAUGCAAGUCGAGCGAACGGACGAGAAGCUUGCUUCUCUGAUGUUAGCGGCGGACGGGUAAGUAACACGUGGAUAACCUACCUAUAAGACUGGGAUAACUUCGGGAAACCGGAGCUAAUACCGGAUAAUAUUUUGAACCGCAUGGUUCAAAAGUGAAAGACGGUCUUGCUGUCACUUAUAGAUGGAUCCGCGCUACAUUAGCUAGUUGGUAAGGUAACGGCUUACCAAGGCAACGAUGCAUAGCCGACCUGAGAGGGUGAUCGGCCACACUGGAACUGAGACACGGUCCAGACUCCUACGGGAGGCAGCAGUAGGGAAUCUUCCGCAAUGGGCGAAAGCCUGACGGAGCAACGCCGCGUGAGUGAUGAAGGUCUUCGGAUCGUAAAACUCUGUUAUUAGGGAAGAACAUAUGUGUAAGUAACUGUGCACAUCUUGACGGUACCUAAUCAGAAAGCCACGGCUAACUACGUG